RNAcentral lists this ribosomal RNA (497 nucleotides) under uncultured bacterium. Its description in RNAcentral is "partial 16S ribosomal RNA". It matches the Rfam family "Bacterial small subunit ribosomal RNA", at positions 28 to 507 of the family's 1533-position model. The record is from RNAcentral.
GAUGAACGCUGGCGGCGUGCCUAAUACAUGCAAGUCGAGCGAACGGACGAGAAGCUUGCUUCUCUGAUGUUAGCGGCGGGCGGGUGAGUAACACGUGGAUAACCUACCUAUAAGACUGGGAUAACUUCGGGAAACCGGAGCUAAUACCGGAUAAUAUUUUGAACCGCAUGGUUCAAAAGUGAAAGACGGUCUUGCUGUCACUUAUAGAUGGAUCCGCGCUGCAUUAGCUAGUUGGUAAGGUAACGGCUUACCAAGGCAACGAUGCAUAGCCGACCUGAGAGGGUGAUCGGCAAAACUGGACCUGAGACACGGUCCAGCCUCCUACGGGAGGAAGCAGUAGGGAAUCUUCCGCAAUGGGCGAAAGCCUGCCGGAGCAACGCCGCGUGAGUGAUGAAGGUCUUCGGAUCGAAAAACUCUGUUAUUAGGGAAGAACACAUGUGUAAGUAAAUGUGCAAAUCUUGACGGUACCUAAUCAGAAAGCCACGGCUAACUACGUG